This 777-nucleotide ribosomal RNA is filed under the name uncultured euryarchaeote. Its description in RNAcentral is "bacterial SSU rRNA". It matches the Rfam family "Archaeal small subunit ribosomal RNA", at positions 23 to 805 of the family's 1478-position model. The record is from RNAcentral. Lineage: Archaea; Methanobacteriati; Methanobacteriota.
GCUACUGCUAUUGGGAUCCGAUUAAGCCAUGCGAGUCGAGAGGGUUCGGCCCUCGGCAGACGGCUCAGUAACACGUGGAUAAUCUACCCUUAGGUGGAGGAUAACCUCGGGAAACUGAGAAUAAUACUCCAUAGGUCUAGAAUGCUGGAAUGCAUCUAGGCUUAAAGUUCAGGCGCCUAAGGAUGAGUCUGCGGACUAUCAGGUAGUAGUCAGGGUAAAGACCUGACUAGCCUACGACGGAUACGGGUUGUGAGAGCAAUUGCCCGGAGACGAUAUCUGAGACACGAUAUCGGGCCCUACGGGGCGCAGCAGGCGCGAAACCUUCACACUGUGCGAGAGCACGAUGAGGGGAUCCCAAGUGCUAGCUCGUAAGAGUUAGCUGUUUCUUUGUCUAAAAAACAGAGAGAGUAAGAGCUGGGUAAGACGGGUGCCAGCCGCCGCGGUAAUACCUGCAGCUCGAGUGGUGGCCGCUAUUAUUGGGCCUAAAACGUUCGUAGCCGGUUUAGUAAAUGCUUGGGUAAAUUGUGUCGCUUAACGAUACGAAUACCGGGUAGACUGCUAAACUUGGGACCGGGAGAGGUUAGAGGUACUCCUGGGGUAGAGGUGAAAUUCUGUAAUCCUGGGGGGACCACCAGUGGCGAAGGCGUCUAACCAGAACGGGUCUGACGGUGAGGGACGAAGCCCUGGGGCGCAAACCGGAUUAGAUACCCGGGUAGUCCAGGGUGUAAACGCUGCUCGCUUGAUGUUAGUUGGGCUCCGAGCCCACCUAGUGUCGGA